RNAcentral lists this unclassified non-coding RNA (331 nucleotides) under uncultured fungus. RNAcentral's name for it is "partial contains small subunit ribosomal RNA, internal transcribed spacer 1, and 5.8S ribosomal RNA". The stretch from base 1 to 142 matches the Rfam family "Eukaryotic small subunit ribosomal RNA", at positions 1759 to 1831 of the family's 1831-position model. The record is from RNAcentral. Lineage: Eukaryota; Fungi.
GCAAACUUGGUCAUUUAGAGGAAGUAAAAGUCGUAACAAGGUUUCCGUAGGUAUGUAGAAGCUUUUCGUUUACACCUCUUUACGCUCUCUUUGAUAAAUGUGCUAACUUGUACUCUUAGGUGAACCUGCGGAAGGAUCAUUAUCGAGUGAUGGCUGUCUUUCCAGGCGGCUGCCUCCUGUCCUGUGCCUACUACACGCUUUUGCUUCGGCGGGGGAACCCGCCUGAGCACGCUUUGAAAAGUCUUGAAAUUGGUCGUCAGAGGUUUUUUUGCAAAUAAAAAAAACUUUCAACAACGGAUCUCUUGGUUCCGGCAUCGAUGAAGAACGCAGC